RNAcentral lists this ribosomal RNA (533 nucleotides) under Alternaria brassicae. RNAcentral describes it as "eukaryotic LSU rRNA". The stretch from base 159 to 312 matches the Rfam family "5.8S ribosomal RNA". The record is from RNAcentral. Lineage: Eukaryota; Fungi; Ascomycota; Dothideomycetes; Pleosporales; Pleosporaceae.
AUGAAGGCGGGCUGGAAUCUCUCGGGGUUACAGCCUUGCUGAAUUAUUCACCCUUGUCUUUUGCGUACUUCUUGUUUCCUUGGUGGGUUCGCCCACCACUAGGACAAACAUAAACCUUUUGUAAUUGCAAUCAGCGUCAGUAACAAAUUAAUAAUUACAACUUUCAACAACGGAUCUCUUGGUUCUGGCAUCGAUGAAGAACGCAGCGAAAUGCGAUAAGUAGUGUGAAUUGCAGAAUUCAGUGAAUCAUCGAAUCUUUGAACGCACAUUGCGCCCUUUGGUAUUCCAAAGGGCAUGCCUGUUCGAGCGUCAUUUGUACCCUCAAGCUUUGCUUGGUGUUGGGCGUCUUGUCUCUAGCUUUGCUGGAGACUCGCCUUAAAGUAAUUGGCAGCCGGCCUACUGGUUUCGGAGCGCAUCAUAAGUCGCACUCUCUAUCAGCCAAGGUCUAGCAUCCAUUAAGCCUUUUUUCAACUUUUGACCUCGGAUCAGGUAGGGAUACCCGCUGAACUUAAGCAUAUCAAUAAGCGGAGGAA